Molecule: ribosomal RNA, 380 nt
Filed under: uncultured archaeon
Lineage: Archaea
Description: bacterial SSU rRNA
Rfam family: Archaeal small subunit ribosomal RNA
Source: RNAcentral
UAAUACCAGCUCCCUGAGUGGUAAGGACGAUUAUUUGGCCUAAAGCGUCCGUAGCCGGCUUAUCAAGUCUCUUGUUAAAUCCAAUGAUUCAAUCAUUGACCCGCAAGAGAUACUGUUAUGCUAGAGGACGGGAGAGGUCGACGGUAGUCCAGGGGUAGGGGUGAAAUCCUAUAAUCCUUGGAGGACCACCAGUGGCGAAGGCGGUCGACUAGAACGUGCCUGACGGUGAGGGACGAAAGCUGGGGGAGCGAACCGGAUUAGAUACCCGGGUAGUCCCAGCUGUAAACGAUGCGGGCUAGGUGUUGGGGUAGCUACGAGCUACUCCAGUGCCGCAGAGAAGUUGUUAAGCCCGCCGCCUGGGGAGUACGGCCGCAAGGCUG